CAGGAUGAACGCUAGCGACAGGCCUAACACAUGCAAGUCGAGGGGCAGCACAAGGAGCAAUCUGAGGUGGCGACCGGCGCACGGGUGAGUAACACGUAUGCAACCUGCCUGUAAGCGGGGAAUAACCCGUUGAAAGACGGACUAAUACCGCAUAAUACUAAAUUACUGCAUGGUAAUUUAUUUAAACAUUUAUGGCUUACAGAUGGGCAUGCGCAUGAUUAGCUAGUUGGAGAGGUAACGGCUCCCCAAGGCAACGAUCAUUAGGGGUUCUGAGAGGAAGGUCCCCCACACUGGUACUGAGACACGGACCAGACUCCUACGGGAGGCAGCAGUGAGGAAUAUUGGUCAAUGGACGAGAGUCUGAACCAGCCAAGUCGCGUGCAGGAAGAAUGUCCUUAAUGGAUUGUAAACUGCUUUUGCAGGGGAAUAAAGUGCAUCACGUGUGAUGUUUUGUAUGUACUCUGCGAAUAAGGAUCGGCUAACUCCGUGCCAGCAGCGGC
RNAcentral lists this ribosomal RNA (500 nucleotides) under uncultured bacterium. RNAcentral's name for it is "bacterial SSU rRNA". It matches the Rfam family "Bacterial small subunit ribosomal RNA", at positions 25 to 518 of the family's 1533-position model. The record is from RNAcentral.